RNAcentral lists this long non-coding RNA (350 nucleotides) under Phoenix dactylifera (date palm). RNAcentral describes it as "long non-coding RNA (PDAC_LNC020473)". Lineage: Eukaryota; Viridiplantae; Streptophyta; Magnoliopsida; Arecales; Arecaceae. The record is from RNAcentral.
CUGCCAUGAAGACGUCGACUACGUGACCUGCACAUCUUCUGGCAAUGAGAAGCUGCCACCCAAGUGCAACUGCUGCAACCUUGCCGAAGAUUGUACCCUCCACCUAUCGGAUGGGUCUCAAAUAUCUUGCUGAAGUGGCCUUCAAAAGCUUAAGCUAAUUAAAUAUCAAUAACAUAUGCAACAUUUAUCUAAAUAAAGGAUCUAAAUAUGGCCAUGUACUAUGAAAACCAUUAUUAAUUGGCAGGGGAGCCAAGAUUAUUCCAUAGUGAUGCCAGAAAUAAACUUGUAACUAUGUAUUUUGCUUUUUAUUUCAAAAUUAUGUGCAUAUGAAAUUAUAGUUUAUAUUAAAU